UGGGACCUCACCUCUGGAGAUUCCACUUGGGAAAUUGAAGAGGUGAUACGAGAGCAUCAUACCCUAAUCUCUUUCUUGGUAAGUUCAUUUUCGAGGACGAAAAUUUUUGUAGUUGGAGAUAAUGUAACGACACUUUUUUUAUAAAAAGCAGAAACAAUGUGCCCACUAUCACUUUCUUCUUCAUUCUUCCAAACCACUUUCUCUCUCUCUCUCUCCAAUUCUCUUCUCUCCCUCUCUCUUAAUUUCUCUCCCAAUCUUCAUCUAUUUUAGAAUAUGAUCAUACCACACUGUAGCAGAGGAGUUAAGGAACAUUUCUACCCG
RNAcentral lists this long non-coding RNA (321 nucleotides) under Phaseolus vulgaris (common bean). RNAcentral describes it as "long non-coding RNA (PVUL_LNC004101)". Lineage: Eukaryota; Viridiplantae; Streptophyta; Magnoliopsida; Fabales; Fabaceae. The record is from RNAcentral.